AUGGCACCACUAUCAUGCUCUCCCAACAUAUUUGAAGAGGUAUGCAUAGCGAGUAAUUUACCUAUUUUCAGAUUUGGUCGCAACUUUAUUAUUGAUGCAUCUAUAAGAAAUAUUCUCAUAAGUAAUUUUGAGAGACCAAUGAAGAAGGGUAAUUUACUUGUUAGCAAUAAAAUUGUUAUGGAACAUAUCGGUCAAACCAUUGCACCAUUUAUAAAGACCGAUAAUGACUUAUUGUUACAACCAAAGCUUUCCCCGUUGCUUUAUCUAAAGUUGCUUUAUCUAAAGUUCAUAUCUAGUUGGGUAGCUUUGCUUAUUUCGUACUUGGCUUGUGUAAUGCCCUCGAUGCAGCUAUAG
RNAcentral lists this ribosomal RNA (354 nucleotides) under Triticum aestivum (bread wheat). RNAcentral's name for it is "partial small subunit ribosomal RNA". Lineage: Eukaryota; Viridiplantae; Streptophyta; Magnoliopsida; Poales; Poaceae. The record is from RNAcentral.